This 459-nucleotide ribosomal RNA is filed under the name uncultured bacterium. RNAcentral's name for it is "partial 16S ribosomal RNA". It matches the Rfam family "Bacterial small subunit ribosomal RNA", at positions 338 to 795 of the family's 1533-position model. The record is from RNAcentral.
CCUACGGUGAGCAGCAGUGAGGAAUAUUGGUCAAUGGCCGAGAGGCUGAACCAGCCAAGUCGCGUGAGGGAAGACGGCCCUACGGGUUGUAAACCUCUUUUGUCGGGGAGCAAAGCGAGUCACGUGUGACUCAUUGAGAGUACCCGAAGAAAAAGCAUCGGCUAACUCCGUGCCAGCAGCCGCGGUAAUACGGAGGAUGCGAGCGUUAUCCGGAUUUAUUGGGUUUAAAGGGUGCGCAGGCGGAGGUGCAAGUCAGCGGUCAAAUUGCGGGGCUCAACCCCGUACUGCCGUUGAAACUGCAUCCCUUGAGUGCGCGAGAAGUAUGCGGAAUGCGUGGUGUAGCGGUGAAAUGCAUAGAUAUAUGGAAGAACACCAGUGGCGAAGGCGGCCGCCUGGCCUGUUGCUGACGCUGAGGCACGAAAGCGUGGGGAGCAAAUAGGAUUAGAUACCCGAGUAGUC